Stegostoma tigrinum is the source of this 1681-nucleotide long non-coding RNA. RefSeq lists it as uncharacterized. The record is from RefSeq and is a predicted model, not a curated record. The transcript has 4 exons. Lineage: Eukaryota; Metazoa; Chordata; Chondrichthyes; Orectolobiformes; Stegostomatidae.
GACGUCAGCGGACGGCGUUGCCGCGGCAACGGGCCGGCGCCGCGCGUGCGGCAGCGUGGACGCGCUCGGAGCUGCCCCGCGGCAGGAACGGUCCGAGCUCGGCUGGAGCUGCCGGUAGUGUCCCUGCAUCGGAGACAGGAGACCCGUGUUAAUGCCCCACCUGUUGCAAAUGUGUGUGUAAUAACGUAGCCGAGUGGUUGGAUGGGAAAACACCUUCACCACAAGCAGCUGAGGUACCAGCGUCAAUGGCCCCCAAAGACAAGUCUACCAGCUCUGAGGAAAAAGCCACAGAUUUCACAGAAGAUACACCAAUAACACUGCCUCCCACACACUUCAAUAUAGUCAUCUGAAUGACUACUUUCGCUAGGUUAGAGUCAGGUGCAUACUCGGGUGAGCAUGUCUCUGAAUCAGAUUGAGGAAGAAACACCCCUGGUCAUUAGUAUACAGAGAACUGCCAGAGACCAGGCACCUGCACAACCCUUAGGCAGAAGAUGACCCAUCGUGUUGGGCAUUAAGAACUUCUUUCAAGUGCAUAGGCAGAUAGAGGAGUAGCAAGUGUAUUUGUUGGACACACUGCGCAAGUUGAUUCAAAGGUUGAAGGACUCUACCAUGCUAUUUAAGUGAUCAUUAACUAUUUUCAGUUUUAUUUGCUGAUUGAUAUCUGCUGCGAAUGAAUCUGGGAGGAAUCGCCUCAGUCAUUGCCCAGGAGUGAAUAAAGGGAAGGCAAGCUAUAGCGGAGCGACCAUUUUUAGAAGGGCAGCUUUGUGGAUGAAGUGCUGCUGGAGGUUUAAGUGUAGGCUUAAGUGAAUACCGGGCCUCAGUAAGGAGGGCAAGCAACAGCGAGGUAAGGCAGACAGAGGAAGAGCAAACUACUGCACCUGCUGAAAAUACAAGAGUAAAACAGAAGUAGAAGGAAGUUUAACCAUGAAGUCACAGACUGCAGUGACUGCAGCAGCACGAGCAGGAGCUUGGACAAGGGGCCUGUCGGGAAGCCGCUCGCUGCCAUGCAAAGGCAGCCAACAUCAUCAAAGACCCAUUGCACCCCGGUAAUGACCUCCUACAACCUCAUCCUUCAGGCAGAAGAUGCAGAAGCCUGAACACAUGCACCAGCAGGUUCAGUAACAGCUUCCUUCCAGGCGUUAUCAGACUGUUGAAUGGACUAUUUCAAAUAAUGUAACUGUAUGCUCCUCAGUCUUUUUGAUCCAUCCAUCCUUUGCUUGUUGUGAUCUGCUUCUACACUCAUUAACAGAGCUUUGACACAUGUACCAAAUACAGUGAAAUCAAGAUAACAAAGUGUGGGGCUGGAUGAACACAGCAGGCCAAGCAGUAUCUCAGGAGCACAAAAGCUGACGUUUCGGGCCUAGACCCUUCUUCAGACAGUGAAAUCAAUCAAUGUUAGUCAUUUGUUGCAUUUAUUGAAUACUUAAUCAUUGGAAUUCCAUGCUUUGUUGUCUGCCUGACCAAUUUGUCUGCUCCCUCCAGCUAAAUAAAUGUAAAUGAUUCAUUAACAGUGAGUGAGAUCAGUCUCCAAUUGUCUGUGAAAAAGGACACUUUUUAAAAACAUAUAGAGCAAUAAAUUGUCUCUGUAAACCCUAGUUUAAAUGAAAAUUGUUAUUCUUUCAUGACUGAUUCUUCUUCCUACGCUGCGCAGUUCCUGACCUAAGGUUAACAUCACUUAACA